GACGAACGCUGGCGGCGUGCCUAAUACAUGCAAGUAGAACGCUGAAGGAGGAGCUUGCUCUUCUGGAUGAGUUGCGAACAGGUGAGUAACGCGUAGGUAACCUGCCUGGUAGCGGGGGAUAACUAUUGGAAACGAUAGCUAAUACCGCAUAACAGUAGAUGUUGCAUGACAUUUACUUAAAAGGUGCAAUUGCAUCACUACCAGAUGGACCUGCGUUGUAUUAGCUAGUUGGUGGGGUAACGGCUCACCAAGGCGACGAUACAUAGCCGACCUGAGAGGGUGAUCGGCCACACUGGGACUGAGACACGGCCCAGACUCCUACGGGAGGCAGCAGUAGGGAAUCUUCGGCAAUGGACGGAAGUCUGACCGAGCAACGCCGCGUGAGUGAAGAAGGGUUUCGGAUCGUAAAGCUCUGUUGUAAGAGAAGAACGAGUGUGAGAGUGGAAAGUUCACACUGUGACGGUAUCUUACCAGAAAGGGACGGCUAACUACGUG
This 495-nucleotide ribosomal RNA is filed under the name uncultured bacterium. RNAcentral's name for it is "partial 16S ribosomal RNA". It matches the Rfam family "Bacterial small subunit ribosomal RNA", at positions 28 to 507 of the family's 1533-position model. The record is from RNAcentral.